UACGUAGGGUGCGAGCGUUGUCCGGAUUUAUUGGGCGUAAAGCGAGCGCAGGUGGUUUAAUAAGUCUGAUGUAAAAGGCAGUGGCUCAACCAUUGUAUGCAUUGGAAACUGGUAGACUUGAGUGCAGGAGAGGAGAGUGGAAUUUCAUGUGUAGCGGUGAAAUGCGUAGAUAUAUGGAGGAACACCGGUGGCGAAAGCGGCUCUCUGGCCUGUAACUGACACUGAGGCUCGAAAGCGUGGGGAGCAAACAGG
RNAcentral lists this ribosomal RNA (252 nucleotides) under uncultured microorganism. Its description in RNAcentral is "partial 16S ribosomal RNA". It matches the Rfam family "Bacterial small subunit ribosomal RNA", at positions 524 to 776 of the family's 1533-position model. The record is from RNAcentral.